RNAcentral lists this ribosomal RNA (471 nucleotides) under uncultured Desulfobulbus sp. RNAcentral's name for it is "bacterial SSU rRNA". It matches the Rfam family "Bacterial small subunit ribosomal RNA", at positions 341 to 801 of the family's 1533-position model. Lineage: Bacteria; Pseudomonadati; Thermodesulfobacteriota; Desulfobulbia; Desulfobulbales; Desulfobulbaceae. The record is from RNAcentral.
ACGGGAGGCAGCAGUGAGGAAUAUUGCGCAAUGGGGGCAACCCUGACGCAGCGACGCCGCGUGAGUGAAGAAGGCCUUCGGGUUGUAAAGCUCUGUCGGAAGGGAAGAAAUGCUUGGGUGCUAAUAUCAUCCAGGUUUGACGGUACCUUCAAAGGAAGCACCGGCUAACUCCGUGCCAGCAGCCGCGGUAAUACGGAGGGUGCGAGCGUUAAUCGGAAUUACUGGGCGUAAAGGGCGCGUAGGCGGCUUUGCAAGUCGGAUGUGAAAGCCCACGGCUUAACCGUGUGAAGUGCAUUCGAAACUGCCAGGCUUGAGUAUCGGCGGGGAAGAUGGAAUUCCCGGUGUAGAGGUGAAAUUCGUAGAUAUCGGGAGGAAUACCGGUGGCGAAGGCGAUCUUCUGGACGAAUACUGACGCUGAGGCGCGAAAGCGUGGGGAGCAAACAGGAUUAGAUACCCUGGUAGUCCACAGCU